CAAGGAAUUUUGAGCAAUGGGCGAAAGCCUGACACAGCAACGCCGCGUGAGGGAUGACGGCCUUCGGGUUGUAAACCUCUUUUCUCAGGGAAGAAUAAUGACGGUACCUGAGGAAUAAGCUUCGGCUAACUACGUGCCAGCAGCCGCGGUAAUACGUAGGAAGCGAGCGUUAUCCGAAUUUACUGGGCGUAAAGUGGGCGUAGGCGGCCUUUCAAGUUGGAUGUGAAAUCUCCUGGCUUAACUGGGAGGGGUCAUCCAAUACUGCUAGGCUGGAGGACAGCAGGGGAAAGUGGAAUUCCCGGUGUAGUGGUGAAAUGCGUAGAUAUCGGGAGGAACACCAGUGGCGAAGGCGGCUUUCUAGGCUGUCUCUGACGCUGAGGCCCUAAAGUGUGGGGAGCGAACAG
RNAcentral lists this ribosomal RNA (404 nucleotides) under uncultured bacterium. RNAcentral describes it as "bacterial SSU rRNA". It matches the Rfam family "Bacterial small subunit ribosomal RNA", at positions 355 to 775 of the family's 1533-position model. The record is from RNAcentral.